UCCCUGGUGGUUCAGCAGGUUGGGGAUUCAGUAUUGCUACUGCUGUGGUGCGGGUUUGAUCCCCGGCCUGGGAA
Molecule: transfer RNA, 74 nt
Filed under: Sus scrofa (pig)
Lineage: Eukaryota; Metazoa; Chordata; Mammalia; Artiodactyla; Suidae
Rfam family: tRNA
About the family: Transfer RNA (tRNA) molecules are approximately 80 nucleotides in length. Their secondary structure includes four short double-helical elements and three loops (D, anti-codon, and T loops).
Source: Rfam by way of RNAcentral